GUGGACCAGGUGCUCUGAGGCUGGCGUACAGACACAGCACGUGCGACCGAGUGGCGUUGGUCCGACACCACGGGGCAUGGGGAUACGUGUGCAACCAGCAGUGGAUGCUGGCAGAGGCCUCUGUCGUGUGCAGGCAGCUGGGCUGCGGCCCUGCCGUGGGCGCCCCCAAGUAUGUCCCGCUGCCUGGAGAGAUGGCCCAGCCCUGGCUUCACAACGUGUCCUGCCGGGGCAACGAGUCCUCCCUCUGGGAGUGCAGCCUUGGCUCAUGGUGCCAGAGCCCGUGCCCCCACGCAUGGGUGGUGGUCGCGCUGUGCUCCAGAGACCAGCAGCAGAGCAUGAAGCUGGGCACAGGGGUCUCUCUGAGCCCAGGGCCCUGUGUGACUGCCCAGUUACCUGCCCCUGAAGCUGGCCCUGGCUCAGCCCAUCACUCUCCUCCCUGAAAAAGGAGCUGCCGAGUGACCAUGCGGCCAGCUGGGUCCAUACCUUAAGGAGGACCGGCCUGUGCUCCACAGAUGGCACUUUCCGGGAGCUCUGGCUGGUGAAGGGCCGCAGUCCCUGCGCGGGACUCCCCGAGAUCAGAAACGUGAAUGGGGUGGACCGCCUCUGUGGCCUGCAUGUGGAGGAGGCCAUGGUGUUCUGCCGAGAGCUGGGGUGCGGCCCUGUGCUCCAGGCCCCCCGCCGGGACGUGGGCGUCAUCAGGAAGUACCUGGCCUGCAGGGGUACCGAGCCCACCAUCCGCAGCUGCAGACUGGACAACAACUUCCGCAGCGGCUGCGACCUGCGGCUGGUCGCAGAGGUGGACUCCUCGGGUGACGCUGCCACCUGAUGUUCCCAGUGACCCUUGGGAUGAUGCUGGGCCUGGACCUGGGGAGGGCAGGGGGAAGGGGGGUGGGCGUUCCCACGGAUGGGCCCCCCUGUCCUGCAUGAGACAUUGGGCGCAGAGGUGGGAAAGGGCCUCAGCUCUCACGCUGGUUCUCAGCAGAGUGGAGCUGAGUUUCUGGUGGCCCCACAGAGGUGUCCUGGCUCAGAACCCGCAGGCCAUCUAGGGGUCCUGGCUGCCGCUGCAAGUCUGAGCCGCCUCAGCUGUGAUCUCUGCAUGUCUAACAUGGAUCGGGGUUGGGUAGAGGUCACUUCUUCCCAGCCCUGCCUCAAGUGUGUGUGAGAUGCACUGGUCUCACAGCUCCUGGCCUUGUUGUGCAUAUGAGGAGCAGCUGAAAUGAGGUGGAUAGUCUGCCUGCUGCGGUACCCCAGAGAGGGUGGUGCUCAGUGGACCAAGGGGUGCCCUGACCUCACCUCUGGGAUUGCAGAGGGUGUUGCUGUCAUGGCCCCGGACAGGCAGAGGCUGUGAAAUACGUGGGCACCUGCAGCAGGUGACCCUGACCCUGACCUUGGUGAUGCGGCCAAGGACGUCUGCUCUGCUCUGGGUGCCGGGUGGAAGGGCCUGUGGCUGCAAGUUCCUGCCUGUGCUUGGCAGACCCUCUGCCUAGUUGCAGGUGAUAGCCCCUGGCUGAAGCCUUCUGCAGUCUGAGGCUCAGGGCCAGGCUGUUGACCUGAGAACACCUGUCUCCUGCCUGAGAGGACGUCUGCCCCCAGGACACACCGAGGCCCGACUGGUGGGCGGCGAGCACCCCUGCGCCGGGCGCCUGGAGGUGAGGCGGGGCCUGACCUGGGGCACCGUCUGUGAUGCGGACCUGGACCUGGCCACGGCCCACGUGGUGUGCCGGGAGCUGCAGUGCGGGGCGGUCGUGUCCACACCCAAGGGUGCCCGCUUCGGCCGGGGCUCGGGGCCGGUGUGGACGGAGGCCUUCCGCUGUGUGGGCAACGAGUCGCUGCUGUUCCACUGCCCGCGGGGGCGCGGGAGCCAGUGUGGGCACGGCCACGACGCGGGGCUCAGGUGCUCAGAGUUCAGGAUGGUCAACGGCAGCAGCAGCUGUGAGGGCCACGUGGAGCUCCAGGUGCAGGGGUCCUGGGCACCCCUCUGUGCCACCCACUGGGACAUAGCAGAUGCCACCGUCCUCUGCCACCAGCUCAACUGUGGCAACGCGGUGGCCGCACCUGGAGGAGGCCAUUUUGGGGACGGGGACGCUGCCAUCUGGCCUGACGCCUUUCACUGUGAGGGGACAGAGCCCUACUUGUGGAAUUGCCCAGUAAGCACCCUGGGGGCCCCAGCCUGUGCCCCGGGAAACACAGCCUCCGCGGUCUGCUCAGGUCUGCCCCACGCCCUGCGACUGAGGGAAGGACAGAGCCGCUGUGACGGCCGCGUGGAGGUCUCCCUGGAUGGCGUGUGGGGCCGCGUCCUGGACGAUGCCUGGGACCUGCACGGCGCGGGCGUGGUGUGCCGGCAACUCGGGUGCGGAGGGGCCCAGCAAGCCUAUGACGCACCUGCCCCCAGCCGCGGAUCCGUCCAGGUGGCGCUGAGCCGCGUGCGCUGUCUGGGCACCGAAACCCGCCUGACUCAGUGCAACGUGUCCGCGACCCUGCAGGAGCCCGCGGGGACCUCGCGGGACGCUGGCGUGGUGUGCUCCGGUGAGGGCGGAACCGCGUCCCCCAUGGCCCGUCGCCACGGGAUCCCGGGCGCCCUGACUCUGUCUCUCCACAGGGAGCCUCAGGGUGCGGCUGGCCGCGGGGCCGGGGCGCUGUGCGGGGCGCGUGGAGGUGCUGCACGGGGGCGCGUGGGGCACCGUGUGUGGCGAUGCCUGGGACCUGCGGGACGCGCACGUGGUCUGCAGGCAGCUGGGCUGUGGCCGCGCCCUGAGCGCCCUGGGGGCCGCACACUUCGGAGCCGGGGCAGGGCGCAUCUGGCUGGACGAGCUGGGCUGCCAGGGCCACGAGUCUGCGCUGUGGCAGUGCCCGUCGGCGGGCUGGGGGCGGCACGACUGCAGGCACAAGGAGGACGCCGGCGUCUUCUGCUCAGAGUCGGUGGCUCUGAGGCUGCGAGGUGGGACCUGCUGCUGUGCUGGGUGGCUGGACGUGUUCUGCAAUGGGACCUGGGGCGCCGUGUGCAGCAAUGCCCUGAAGGACCUCUCCUUGUCCAUCAUCUGCAAGCAGCUGGGGUGUGGGGAGUGGGGCUGGCUGGAGAACAGGCCCUUCCCCUCUGCGGGCACCGGGACCGCCUGGGUGGACAACAUCGAGUGCUGCAGGCUGCCCAACUCCACUCUGUGGCAAUGCCCUUCCCACCCAUGGCACCCGCACUCUUGCGACCUUUGAGAGCAGGUCUGGAUUACCUGUGCAGAAAAGGCAGGAGAAGUUCCUGAGGACCCCGGGGAGCCCCUCAACUGCUCCUCCUCGCUCGGCUGCCCAGGUACCCCUCUGUCCUUGUCGCUGUCCUCCUUCCCAUCCCGGUCCAGCCCCCGCAGUGACCGCAGCCCCUUUUGCAGAGGAGGGCGCACUGCGCGUGCGCGGGGGCGAGGACCGCUGCUCCGGGCGCGUGGAGCUCUGGCACGCGGGCUCCUGGGGCACCGUGUGCGACGAUGGCUGGGACCUGGCGGACGCGGAGGUCGUGUGCCGCCAGCUGGGCUGCGGUCGGGCCGUCGCCGCCCUGGGGGCCGCCGCCUUUGGCCCUGGCUCCGGGCCCGUGUGGCUGGACGAGGUGGGGUGCCGGGGCAGCGAGGCGUCCCUGUGGGGCUGCCCUGCGGAGCGGUGGGGACGCGGAGACUGCGCGCACAAGGAGGACGCGGGCGUGCGCUGCUGGGAAAACAAACAGUUAACCACAGUGAUGACCUUAGCAAAAACAGCAGUAGUGAGCCUGGCCCAGGCCCCCCACUGCCUGCAGCUCCCUUCCGGACAUUCUGGGUGGUCAGUGUCGUCCUGGGAGCCCUUCUUGGUCUUCUCCUUCUGGGCCUCAUGGCCUUUCUGAUUCUGCCUCGAGUCACGCAAGCCAUGCAGAGGGGUCUGGGAAGAUCCGAGGUAUCUCCUGGAGAAGCCAUCUAUGAUGUCAUUGGGGAAAUGCCGCUAGCAGGACUGUACGAGGAAAUCACGGAGGCCGAGGCUGUGCUCCAAGAUGAGGAGGACGGAAGUGUGGUGAAGGUGGACACAGAAGCCGCAGGUUGAAGUACAGUGGUGUGAUCUCAGCUCACGGCAACCUCUGUCUCCCAGGUUCAAGCAAUUCUUAUGCCUCAGCCUCCAGAGUAGCUAGGAUUACAGAAAGAAAGAAAGAACAAAAAGAAGAGAAGGAGAGUAAAUUCUUGUUUCCAAGUUAGACAAGAGAGUUAUGAUUAAAUGCCACCUUGGGUCCACAAGUCUUCCAUAAGAAAAACAAUGAAAGGAUUUCUGGAUGAUUCUACUAUGACAUCACAACUUGCAGCAGAGGCAGAUGUAAUGAGGCAAUACUUGACAUUGUUUUCAGGGCAUUUGCUCGUGUCCUCGGUCUCUUGCCUUGGCACCUGGGUGGCUUGCCACCCACAGCAAUUGUGACUUUGAAAGGCCAUUCCACCGUUCUAUCAAUCCAGCUGCUUCAGGAUGAUGGGCAACGUGGUAAGACCAGUGAAUUCCACGAACAUGAGCCCACUGCUGCACUUCUAUGGCCGUAAAGAUAGACAAGAGAAGAACUUCUAGAAUGGCAGGAUAAGAAGCUCUGAAAAUCUGUUCCUCCAGAACUGCAAUGUGAACACCAGCUAAAGUGUUGAAAAAUGAAUGGAGCCUCAGAGACCUUUGGGACAUCAUCAAGGGUAUCUAACAGGUACAAUGGGAAUCACAGAAAGAGAGAAAAUAAGGGGACAAAAAUACUAUUUGAAGAAAUAAUGGGUGUAAAUUCCCCAAAUUUGAUUAAAAAGAUCCAUCUACAUAUCCAAAAGCUUAAUAAAUGAAUAUUCAUUUAUU
RNAcentral lists this small RNA (4818 nucleotides) under Pan troglodytes (chimpanzee). Its description in RNAcentral is "retained intron". Lineage: Eukaryota; Metazoa; Chordata; Mammalia; Primates; Hominidae. The record is from RNAcentral.